CAGGGAGACAACACAAUGAUUUUGAUGUCUUAGUUAUUUAUACUUAGGCCAAAAUCCUGUCACCUUAGGUCGAUCGGUACCUCAAAUUAAUAUUCAAUCAAAUCUGAAUUUAUUUAGGUUUUAGUUGGAGAUUGGUUUCAGUUCCUAAACUUGUCUAGGUCACACCCCUAAGGGUUUCUCCUGGGCCAUUAGCUCAGGUGGUUAGAGCGCACCCCUGAUAAGGGUGAGGUCCCUGGUUCAAGUCCAGGAUGGCCCAUUCGGUGUUGGGGGUAUAGCUCAGUUGGUAGAGCGCCUGCUUUGCAAGCAGGAUGUCAGCGGUUCGAGUCCGCUUACCUCCACUGACCGACCUCUUGCAGCGACCCAUUUGUGAGAAUCUUCUAGAGAUGUGAUUUGGACUGAGUUCCCGCUGAGGGAACCUAGCUUCCUAUCAUUCCUAAUCUAAUUAACCUAAUUAGGUGAGGUUGACAGGACGCUGGGCUCACUAAGGUUUUUAGAAUCUUAGAGAUUUUCAGCAGAACCUUGACAACUGCAUAGGUAAGUCUGGAAAGAAUAAAGCAUCUCAUAGAUGCAUUAUUUUUAAUGACAUAUGAAUUGAUUUGUAAAUACAAAUCUUUCUUUUUCAUUGAUUAUAAUGCUUGAUUCUUGAGUUAAGAGCUGAGACUCUAUGAUCCAUUUUGUUUAACUUUCUUUAAUUAAAAAUGAGAAAUUUUCUCGUUUUUAAUAGAGGUAAGUUGCAUUGGUUAUAGAGAUGAAAU
Molecule: transfer RNA, 755 nt
Filed under: uncultured cyanobacterium
Lineage: Bacteria; Bacillati; Cyanobacteriota
Description: partial 16S-23S ribosomal RNA intergenic spacer
Rfam family: tRNA (bases 266-338)
Source: RNAcentral